RNAcentral lists this transfer RNA (77 nucleotides) under Nostoc sp. C057. Its description in RNAcentral is "tRNA-Ala". It matches the Rfam family "tRNA". Rfam says of the family: Transfer RNA (tRNA) molecules are approximately 80 nucleotides in length. The record is from RNAcentral. Lineage: Bacteria; Bacillati; Cyanobacteriota; Cyanophyceae; Nostocales; Nostocaceae. RNAcentral also lists the same sequence under 1 other name.
GGGUCUGUAGCUUAAUUGGUAAAGCGUCUAACUGGCUGUUAGAAAAAUGUCGGUUCGAUUCCGACCAGUAUCCACCA